This 720-nucleotide unclassified non-coding RNA is filed under the name Hevea brasiliensis (rubber tree). Lineage: Eukaryota; Viridiplantae; Streptophyta; Magnoliopsida; Malpighiales; Euphorbiaceae. The record is from RNAcentral.
AUAAUUAACAGACGUAUUUGAGCUCUCACAUGGUAGAUUAGGGACAUAAUCUUGUAAUUAUACAACCAAACAUAAGCAAAAGACAAAACUACACGCUUUAAAGUAUUUUUAAGGAUCGAUUUUGGACUGCUUUGGAAAAGCGUGUGAUUAUGAUAAAUGAUGACAGAUGAUACGAUAUCUUCACAAUUUGGGCUACUUGACAGCUUACCAACCCAUCCUUCACCGGAAGCUUAACUUUUUCCUUGAAAAAACUUCGGGGCUUUUACUAAUUACAGGUCUCCAUUCCAAGGGUUUCAUUUUGAGCAGUUUCAAUUAAAUUUAAUUCCUUUCUCUUGUGAAAUUGAUCUUUUCCAGGAUCUAAACUUAUGCGUUUGGUGGGGGAAAAAAGAAGGGAAAUAAAACAAAGUCUAAGAAGUUGAAAAUCAGGAAGAAGAUUGAGUUUCCAUUUACGACGAAGCCCCCAAGGCCUGGUUCCUUGUUAGUGUUUGUCAUCCGGCUGGUCUAGCACACUCAAGUCCACGUCGUUGAAACGGCCAAGUCCAAAGUAGUCAUCUCCAAUAUCAUUAUGAGCUAAAAACCAUGGAGAGUUACCCUCUGGUGAGGACAUUCCAAAUUCACAAUAUUCUUCUCUAGCGAUGGGAAAAUUCCAUGUUGAAUCUUCAAGAUAAGUGUCUGAAAAUAUGUAACUCAUCAAAGGAUCAUCGUCGUUGUUUGGGUCUG